AUUGAACGCUGGCGGCAUGCUUUACACAUGCAAGUCGAACGGCAGCGCGGGCUUCGGCCUGGCGGCGAGUGGCGAACGGGUGAGUAAUACAUCGGAACGUGCCCAGUAGUGGGGGAUAGCUCGGCGAAAGCCGGAUUAAUACCGCAUACGUCCUGAGGGUGAAAGCGGGGGAUCUUCGGACCUCGCGCUAUUGGAGCGGCCGAUGGCAGAUUAGCUAGUUGGUGGGGUAAAGGCCUACCAAGGCGACGAUCUGUAGCUGGUCUGAGAGGACGACCAGCCACACUGGGACUGAGACACGGCCCAGACUCCUACGGGAGGCAGCAGUGGGGAAUUUUGGACAAUGGGCGAAAGCCUGAUCCAGCAAUGCCGCGUGUGUGAUGAAGGCCUUCGGGUUGUAAAGCACUUUUGGCGGGAACGAAAAGGACUGUGCCAAUACCACGGUUCGAUGACGGUACCCGCAGAAUAAGCACCGGCUAACUACGUG
RNAcentral lists this ribosomal RNA (484 nucleotides) under uncultured bacterium. RNAcentral describes it as "partial 16S ribosomal RNA". It matches the Rfam family "Bacterial small subunit ribosomal RNA", at positions 29 to 507 of the family's 1533-position model. The record is from RNAcentral.